Molecule: transfer RNA, 65 nt
Filed under: Dipodomys ordii (Ord's kangaroo rat)
Lineage: Eukaryota; Metazoa; Chordata; Mammalia; Rodentia; Heteromyidae
Rfam family: tRNA
About the family: Transfer RNA (tRNA) molecules are approximately 80 nucleotides in length. Their secondary structure includes four short double-helical elements and three loops (D, anti-codon, and T loops). Further hydrogen bonds mediate the characteristic L-shaped molecular structure. tRNAs have two regions of fundamental functional importance: the anti-codon, which is responsible for specific mRNA codon recognition, and the 3' end, to which the tRNAs corresponding amino acid is attached (by aminoacyl-tRNA synthetases). tRNAs cope with the degeneracy of the genetic code in two manners: having more than one tRNA (with a specific anti-codon) for a particular amino acid; and 'wobble' base-pairing, i.e. permitting non-standard base-pairing at the 3rd anti-codon position.
Source: Rfam by way of RNAcentral
GGUGGCUCAGUGGUAGAGCGUUUGCCUUGCCUGCAUGAGGUUCUGGGUUCGAUUCCUCAGCACCA